RNAcentral lists this unclassified non-coding RNA (344 nucleotides) under soil metagenome. RNAcentral's name for it is "partial contains 5.8S ribosomal RNA, internal transcribed spacer 2, and large subunit ribosomal RNA". The stretch from base 1 to 120 matches the Rfam family "5.8S ribosomal RNA", at positions 35 to 154 of the family's 154-position model. The record is from RNAcentral.
GAUGAAGAACGUAGCGAAAUGCGAUACGUAAUGUGAAUUGCAGAAUUCAGUGAAUCAUCGAGUCUUUGAACGCACAUUGCGCCCUCUGGUAUUCCGGAGGGCAUGCCUGUCCGAGCGUCAUUGCUGCCCUCAAGCACGGCUUGUGUGUUGGGCCCCGCCCCCCGAUCCCGGGGGGCGGGCCCGAAAGGCAGCGGCGGCACCGCGUCCGGUCCUCGAGCGUAUGGGGCUUUGUCACCCGCUCUGUAGGCCCGGCCGGCGCCUGCCGAUCAACCAAACUUUUUUCCAGGUUGACCUCGGAUCAGGUAGGGAUACCCGCUGAACUUAAGCAUAUCAAUAAGCGGGGA